Molecule: ribosomal RNA, 395 nt
Filed under: uncultured bacterium
Lineage: Bacteria
Description: partial 16S ribosomal RNA
Rfam family: Bacterial small subunit ribosomal RNA
Source: RNAcentral
AUACGUAGGGUGCAAGCGUUAAUCGGAAUUACUGGGCGUAAAGCGUGCGCAGGCGGUUUUGGAAGACAGUGGUGAAAUCCCCCGGCUCAACCUGGGAACUGCCAUUGGGACUGCAAGGCUGGAGGGCGGCAGAGGGGGAUGGAAUUCCGCGUGUAGCAGUGAAAUGCGUAGAUAUGCGGAGGAACACCGAUGGCGAAGGCAAUCCCCUGGGCCUGCACUGACGCUCAUGCACGAAAGCGUGGGGAGCAAACAGGAUUAGAUACCCUGGUAGUCCACGCCCUAAACGAUGUCAACUGGUUGUUGGGGAUUUAUUUUCUCAGUAACGAAGCUAACGCGUGAAGUUGACCGCCUGGGGAGUACGGCCGCAAGGUUAAAACUCAAAGGAAUUGACGGGG